Molecule: ribosomal RNA, 538 nt
Filed under: uncultured Geobacteraceae bacterium
Lineage: Bacteria; Pseudomonadati; Thermodesulfobacteriota; Desulfuromonadia; Geobacterales; Geobacteraceae
Description: bacterial SSU rRNA
Rfam family: Bacterial small subunit ribosomal RNA
Source: RNAcentral
GAGUUUGAUCCUGGCUCAGAACGAACGCUGGCGGCGUGCCUAACACAUGCAAGUCGAACGUGAUUCGGAGCUUGCUCCGAUGAAAGUGGCGCACGGGUGAGUAACGCGUGGAUAACCUGCCCUGGUAUCUGGGAUAACAUCUCGAAAGGGGUGCUAAUACCGGAUAAGCCCACGGAGUCUUUGGACUUUGCGGGAAAAGGGGGGGACCUUCGGGCCUUCUGUCAUCARAUGAGUCUGCGUACCAUUAGCUAGUUGGUAGGGUAAAGGCCUACCAAGGCUACGAUGGUUAGCUGGUCUGAGAGGAUGAUCAGCCACACUGGAACUAAGACACGGUCCAGACUCCUACGGGAGGCAGCAGUGGGGAAUUUUGCGCAAUGGGCGAAAGCCUGACGCAGCAACGCCGCGUGAGUGAUGAAGGCUUUCGGGUCGUAAAGCUCUGUCGAGGGGAAAGAAGUGUAUUGUGGCUAAUAUCCAUUGUACUUGACGGUACCCCUAAAGGAAGCACCGGCUAACUCCGUGCCAGCAGCCGCGGUAAUAC